RNAcentral lists this small nuclear RNA (325 nucleotides) under Amazona aestiva (blue-fronted amazon). RNAcentral's name for it is "7SK RNA". It matches the Rfam family "7SK RNA". Rfam says of the family: 7SK was discovered as an abundant small nuclear RNA in the mid-70s but a possible function has only recently been suggested. Two independent studies have found that 7SK RNA binds the CDK9/cyclin T complex (known as elongation factor P-TEFb). P-TEFb activates transcription by phosphorylating the C-terminal domain of RNA polymerase II. The record is from Rfam by way of RNAcentral. Lineage: Eukaryota; Metazoa; Chordata; Aves; Psittaciformes; Psittacidae.
GGAUGUGAGUGAAAUCUGGCUGCGGUGGUCACUCCAUUUAUAGCCAGGGUUGAUAUAGCUGGUCUGGCUGGCUAGGCAGGUGUCCCCUUCCUCCCUCACUGCUCCAUGUGCAUCCCUCCCAAAGUUGCACACUUGGUCAAAGUGGACAGCUUUCCCAGAUAGAAAUGUACUGUUCGUGGGUCACACGUAUAUGGUAGCUGUUCUGCCCUGCUGGAGCAUACAAACAAGCUCAAGGUCCAGUUGUAGGAGAACAUAGGGUAGUCAAGCUUCCAAGGCUGCAGACACAUCAAGGUGCGAAGCUGCAUUGGGCAGUCUGCCACUGCUU